GUGCUCACUUCAGCAGCACAUAAGCUAAAAUUAGAGCCAUAGAGAAAAGAUUAGUAUGGCUCCUGCGCAAGGAUGAUGUACAAAUUCGUGAAGCAUUCCAUAUUUUU
This 107-nucleotide small nuclear RNA is filed under the name Dasypus novemcinctus (nine-banded armadillo). Lineage: Eukaryota; Metazoa; Chordata; Mammalia; Cingulata; Dasypodidae. The record is from RNAcentral.